UACGAAGGGGGCUAGCGUUGCUCGGAAUUACUGGGCGUAAAGCGCACGUAGGCGGCUUUCUAAGUCGGGGGUGAAAUCCUGGAGCUCAACUCCAGAACUGCCUUCGAUACUGGAGAGCUCGAGUCCGGGAGAGGUGAGUGGAACUGCGAGUGUAGAGGUGAAAUGCGUAGAUAUCCGGAGGAACACCGGUGGCGAAGGCGGCUUCCUGGACCGACACUGACGUUGAGGCGCGAAAGCUAGGGGAGCAAACGGG
This 253-nucleotide ribosomal RNA is filed under the name uncultured bacterium. RNAcentral's name for it is "partial 16S ribosomal RNA". It matches the Rfam family "Bacterial small subunit ribosomal RNA", at positions 524 to 776 of the family's 1533-position model. The record is from RNAcentral.